This 405-nucleotide unclassified non-coding RNA is filed under the name soil metagenome. Its description in RNAcentral is "partial contains 5.8S ribosomal RNA, internal transcribed spacer 2, and large subunit ribosomal RNA". The stretch from base 1 to 121 matches the Rfam family "5.8S ribosomal RNA", at positions 35 to 154 of the family's 154-position model. The record is from RNAcentral.
GAUGAAGAACGUAGCGAAAUGCGAUAAGUAAUGUGAAUUGCAGAAUUCAGUGAAUCAUCGAAUCUUUGAACGUACCUUGCGCCCUUUGGCCAUUCCGAAGGGCAUGCCUGUUUGAGUAUCAUGAACACCUCAACUCUUUAUGGUUUUCCAUGAUGAGCUUGGACUCUGGGGGUUUUGCUGGCUCACAGUCGGCUCCUCUAAAAUGAAUCAGCUUACCAGUGUUUGGUGGGUAUCAUGGGUGUGAUAACUAUCUACGCUUGUGGUUUUUCCACCAGGUAACCUUCAGCAGUGGAGGUUCGCUGGAGCUCAUAGAUGUCUCUCCUCAGUGAGGACAGCCCUUUGAAUGUUUGAUCUCAAAUCAGGUAGGACUACCCGCUGAACUUAAGCAUAUCAAUAAGCGGAGGA